Molecule: small RNA, 134 nt
Filed under: Spirochaetota bacterium
Lineage: Bacteria; Pseudomonadati; Spirochaetota
Description: Spirochaetes bacterium c-di-AMP sequence
Rfam family: c-di-AMP riboswitch aptamer (ydaO/yuaA leader)
About the family: This family represents a conserved RNA structure found upstream of the ydaO and yuaA genes in Bacillus subtilis and related genes in other bacteria.
Source: RNAcentral
AUAACAAUGUAGCCGAGAUCCAUGUCAGACAUGGAUGCGGGGGACCCGGUUUCAGGGGCGAAUUCCAAAGAUGGAUAGGAUACUUCCAGGUCCGAGCCCGUCAGCUAACCUCGUAGGCUUUUGGAAGGGCAUUC